CCUACGGGAGGCAGCAGUGAGGAAUAUUGGUCAAUGGACGAGAGUCUGAACCAGCCAAGUAGCGUGAAGGAUGACUGCCCUAUGGGUUGUAAACUUCUUUUAUAUGGGAAUAAAACGUUCCACGUGUGGGAUUUUGUAUGUACCAUAUGAAUAAGGAUCGGCUAACUCCGUGCCAGCAGCCGCGGUAAUACGGAGGAUCCGAGCGUUAUCCGGAUUUAUUGGGUUUAAAGGGAGCGUAGGUGGAUUGUUAAGUCAGUUGUGAAAGUUUGCGGCUCAACCGUAAAAUUGCAGUUGAAACUGGCAGUCUUGAGUACAGUAGAGGUGGGCGGAAUUCGUGGUGUAGCGGUGAAAUGCUUAGAUAUCACGAAGAACUCCGAUUUCGAAGGCAGUUCACUGGACUGCAACUGACACUGAGGCUCGAAAGUGUGGGUAUCAAACAGGAUUAGAUACCCGAGUAGUC
This 460-nucleotide ribosomal RNA is filed under the name uncultured bacterium. RNAcentral describes it as "partial 16S ribosomal RNA". It matches the Rfam family "Bacterial small subunit ribosomal RNA", at positions 338 to 795 of the family's 1533-position model. The record is from RNAcentral.